This 526-nucleotide ribosomal RNA is filed under the name uncultured bacterium. RNAcentral's name for it is "bacterial SSU rRNA". It matches the Rfam family "Bacterial small subunit ribosomal RNA", at positions 29 to 454 of the family's 1533-position model. The record is from RNAcentral.
AGUGAACGCUGGCGGCGUGCCUAACACAUGCAAGUCGAACGGGCUAGUGCUUCGCACUAGUCUCUUUCUGGGGUUGCUACUCUAAGGCUACCUGCUAAAGUUAUUGCUUUAAAGCAGGGGUUUUAGGGGACCUUCCCCAAAAGGGGCCAGUGCGGAGCACUGGCCAGUGGCGAACGGGUGAGUAACACGUAAGUAAUCUACCCUCGAGUGGGGAAUAACAACCGGAAACGGUUGCUAAUACCGCAUAAUGCAGCGGCACCGCAAGGUGACAGUUGUUAAAGAUUUAUCGCUUGAGGAGGAGCUUGCGGCAGAUUAGCUAGUUGGUAGGGUAACGGCUUACCAAGGCUACGAUCUGUAACCGGUCUAAGAGGACGGUCGGUCACACUGACACUGAAUAACGGGUCAGACUCCUACGGGAGGCAGCAGUCGGGAAUUUUGGGCAAUGGGCGAAAGCCUGACCCAGCAACGCCGCGUGAAGGAUGAAGUAUUUCGGUAUGUAAACUUCGAAAGAAUAGGAAGAAUUAAU